UGGCAGUUGCUGGCACUAUAAAGAGUCCGUCAAGCAACACUAAUAUGUGUUGGUGGUCAAGAAUGUUUUGUAUGAAUUUUUACUGGUGUUGUUGAGGUGGUUCGUUGUUGUAUUUUUGUUUGGCCAUGGAGGGUACCACUAGCCGACUCUUAAGUUUUUCCUUGGCACUUCUCAGUCUUUGUGUCUGUGACCAUUUUGGAAGUGUUGGUGGCUUUGUCAGGAGUGGUUAUCCUGUUUACCAUGAGGCUGGUUUCCCCAUGCGGGAUAUGAAGCCACGAAGUUCCUACAGCUGGUAUGGGGCUGAUGUAUCAA
Non-coding RNA from Pimephales promelas (fathead minnow), 312 nucleotides. Lineage: Eukaryota; Metazoa; Chordata; Actinopteri; Cypriniformes; Leuciscidae. The record is from RefSeq and is a predicted model, not a curated record.